CCCCUCUCAGCGUCGCACCUGGAGAGUUUCCAGUACUCUACCAGUCUCAGCUACGGGAGGGAGAGUCAAGCAGAGACCUACCCAUUCCAUUCCUAGCUUGGCCAGUGGCUAGUGAGUGAAAGGCGAUCUGCUACAAAU
This 138-nucleotide small nucleolar RNA is filed under the name Ornithorhynchus anatinus (platypus). The record is from RNAcentral. Lineage: Eukaryota; Metazoa; Chordata; Mammalia; Monotremata; Ornithorhynchidae.